Molecule: RNA transcript, 1287 nt
Organism: Pseudomyrmex gracilis
Lineage: Eukaryota; Metazoa; Arthropoda; Insecta; Hymenoptera; Formicidae
Exons: 9
Source: RefSeq, a predicted model, not a curated record
CAGACGCCGAAGUAUACACUUCGCUACAUCUACAUCUAUCGCUUAUCGGAAAUUCAUGGAAUAAAAGUAAAUGUUAAAGUGUAAUUGAUAAGCCUAUAUUACAGAUAUAAAAGUGAUUUAAAAGUGAUAAAAAAUUGCUUAUUGUUAUCAAAAUGUCUCCAAUUUUGAUUUUUGCUCUAGUUUCUUUAUCUACUUUUGUGGCAUAUAAGACUAUUCCGGUUGGCAGUCGUGUCUCAUUGGUCGUAGCAAAAUACGUUGCCGCGCUUUCCCUGAUGCAGCCUAACUAGGAACUUUUGUGAGCGUCAAUAAGUGAGAAAUAGAGAAAUAAGUGGAGCAAACGAUUUAUUCUUCUUGCCUCUGUGUCGUUCUGGCAAUCAACUUACCAUCGGAGAACAAUAACUUUAGUUUUCAAAAUUAUUUUUUCAACACCGACAGCAAUGAGACAGAAAUAACAGAUGAUAUAAUGUAUGAGAAUAAUGGAUCAAACUCUGUUUGUACCGAGUACUUGAUAUCCUCACAAUUUAAAAUAAAACCUGCUGAAUGUGUGAGAUUGGAACACCGACGCUUUAAGAAUAUAUAUGCGAAAAUUGUUGUUCGUAUGGAAAGCGAUGAAAAGCAUAAUUCAUCCCUUAGAAUCGAAAAAUAUAUGAUUCGUCUCGUUUUUUUUGUAUUCUCCGUGACUAUAAUAUUACCGUUGUUCAUUAGCAGCAUAACAUUGCCGCUUAAAGUUUACAACGGACUACUUGAAAUAGCGAGUGUGUUCACAUCAACGUAAAUGACAAUAUAGAUGCAGGACAACAAUAUUACAACAACAACCAGUUAGAUUAUCCGAAUGGUAUAAUAUCGAAGGAGAAAGUACCAAUAUUUGUCUAAUUAACGAAAAGUUAUAAUUAUAUAUUCAACUGGAUCUUUUGCAAAGAACUGUACCAAAGUAUUCAAUAUAAUAUCUCAAGUGCACAUAUUUGUGUAAACGAAUCGGAUAAUUCCAGCGAACAUCGUAUUAGUGAUGUGGGCGGUCCAAUGGUAGACGGUCUGCAUUUGAAUUUAAUCGGCAUUGCAGCAAGUUUGGAAGGAAGAAUAUCAGGCGUACUCUAUCCUACGUUAUUCCUGAACAUAUUAAAUUAUACAGAAUGGAAAAAUAGCCAAGAAAAGAUAGACUGUGAUACUAGAAGAUGUUAGAAUACCGUUACGAUGACGAAUGUUGAUCAAAUUCAUUCUUGAUGACAUUAUCUAUGAUAAGAUGUAGCUGUUGUGUAAUUUUAAAAUCUAUAAUAUGUAAUAUAUACA